RNAcentral lists this transfer RNA (90 nucleotides) under Candidatus Cloacimonadota bacterium. Its description in RNAcentral is "tRNA-Ser". It matches the Rfam family "tRNA". Rfam says of the family: Transfer RNA (tRNA) molecules are approximately 80 nucleotides in length. RNAcentral also lists the same sequence under 1 other name. The record is from RNAcentral. Lineage: Bacteria; Pseudomonadati; Candidatus Cloacimonadota.
GGAGAGGUGUCCGAGUGGCUGAAGGAGCACGCUUGGAAAGCGUGUGUUUUGGAAACAGAACCGCGGGUUCGAAUCCCGCCCUCUCCGCCA